GGCUCCAUAGUGUAGUGGUUAGCACGUCUGCUUUACAUGCAGAAGGUCCUGGGUUCGCGCACCAGGUGGAGCCA
Molecule: transfer RNA, 74 nt
Filed under: Pteropus alecto (black flying fox)
Lineage: Eukaryota; Metazoa; Chordata; Mammalia; Chiroptera; Pteropodidae
Rfam family: tRNA
About the family: Transfer RNA (tRNA) molecules are approximately 80 nucleotides in length.
Source: Rfam by way of RNAcentral